GCAGUAUUUGGGAUUCUCAGAUUACAAAGAUUAUUUCACCUUUUCAUUCUUCUUUGUUGGAUUCUCACAGUUCUGUGUUGGAUCUUCUUUGGCUUGUACCUUUUCUUGAACAAUUUCUUGAGUGACACUUGCAAAGCUCUUGAGAUGUUCCAAGAAAAUCCCAACAACAACAGCCUAAGUUCUAUUCUCCUAUGUGAGCAACUUCUAACUGCAAAAUCAGUUCUCAUGAUGUAAGUUCAGAGAUUUAUGAUCUUGUUAAUCAGGUUAACACACAAAUUGCUAUAUCAUAUCCAGACAUUGCUUUGGUUUGUAAUCCUUUCUCACAACCUCCUUAUUAUGAAUACCAACCUCAAAACUGUGCAACAAACACCAUCCGUAUUGGAGACAUCCCCAAGGUAAAUACGUUACGACGUACAAAGUUGUUGCUAAUAUUGUUCACUUUCAGCAGCCUAAAAGUAACCAUAGUCACUAUUCCAUACUUGAAAUAAGCAUAUCUCCAACUCUUCUUCAAUAUUAAACUUCCAA
Molecule: long non-coding RNA, 525 nt
Organism: Cucumis melo (muskmelon)
Lineage: Eukaryota; Viridiplantae; Streptophyta; Magnoliopsida; Cucurbitales; Cucurbitaceae
Exons: 4
Source: RefSeq, a predicted model, not a curated record